CUUUGUUCUUGAGAAAUCUACAGGAUUUCCCACAUCAGAACAAAGGCAGUGAAACAGGACUGGGUGUGAGCUUGGAGGACAUGCACACACCUGCUCUCUCUAGGAGAGAAAGAUGGAGUGGAGUCUGCAUCAGGAUAUUGUACAGAAUUUUUAUGCUUGCUCUAGUGAGGUACUGAAGGACAGAAGAACCUGGCAUGCUGGAGUCCACAUGGUCACAAAGAGUAAGACACGACUUAGCAGCUGAGCAACAACAAUGAUAGCAUCA
Molecule: long non-coding RNA, 265 nt
Filed under: Capra hircus (goat)
Lineage: Eukaryota; Metazoa; Chordata; Mammalia; Artiodactyla; Bovidae
Description: lncRNA (ENSCHIG00000004758.1)
Source: RNAcentral